This 440-nucleotide ribosomal RNA is filed under the name uncultured bacterium. RNAcentral's name for it is "partial 16S ribosomal RNA". It matches the Rfam family "Bacterial small subunit ribosomal RNA", at positions 338 to 795 of the family's 1533-position model. The record is from RNAcentral.
CCUACGGGAGGCAGCAGUGGGGAAUAUUGCACAAUGGGGGAAACCCUGAUGCAGCGACGCCGCGUGAGUGAAGAAGGAAUUCGGGUUGUAAAGCUCUAUCAGCAGGGAAGAAAAUGACGGUGCCUGACUAAGAAGCCCCGGCUAACUACGUGCCAGCAGCCGCGGUAUUACGUAGGGGGCACGCGUUAUCCGGAUUUACUGGGUGUAAAGGGAGCGUAGACGGCGGUGCAAGUCUGGAGUGAAAGGCGGUGGCUCAACCGCGGGACUGCUCUGGAAACUGUACCGCUGGAGUGCAGGAGAGGUAAGUGGAAUUCCUAGUGUAGCGGUGAAAUGCGUAGAUAUUAGGAGGAACACCAGUGGCGAAGGCGGCUUACUGGACUGUAACUGACGUUGAGGCUCGAAAGCGUGGGGAGCAAACAGGAUUAGAUACCCGUGUAGUC